AGGUCAAGCUAAUAAGGGCUAACGGUGGAUACCUAGGCACACGGAAGCGAAGAAGGACGUAGUUACCGACGAAACGCUUCGGGGAGCGGGAAGCAAGCAUUGAUCCGAAGAUAUCCGAAUGGGGCAACCCUAAACACGACCACCUGAAUACAUAGGGUGGAGCGAGCAAACCUGGUGAACUGAAACAUCUUAGUAGCCAGAGGAAAAGAAAGCAACAGCGAUUCCCCCAGUAGCGGCGAGCGAAAAGGGAACAGCCUAAACCAAGUUCUUCGGAACUUGGGGUCGUGGGACAGUAACAAAAGACUGGGAAAUUUAGACGAAGCGGCUGAAAACCGCACCAGAGAAGGUGAAAGUCCUGUAGUCGAAAAAGGAACCAGCUUAACUGCAUCCCGAGUAGCAUGGGGCACGUGAAAUCCCGUGUGAAUCUGCCUCGACCACGAGGUAAGGCUAAAUAUUCCCGUGUGACCGAUAGAGAAACAGUACCGCGAGGGAAAGGUGAAAAGAACCCCGGAAGGGGAGUGAAAUAGAACAUGAAACCGUUAGCCUACAAGCAAUGGGAGGACGAUUGAACGUCUGACCGUGUGCCUGUUGAAGAAUGAGCCGGCGACUUACAGGUUAUGGCAGGUGAAGGGGGAAGACCCCACAGCCCCAGCGAAAGCGAGUCUGAAUAGGGCGAAGCGUCAUAAUUUGUAGACCCGAACCCGGGUGAUCUAACCAUGGCCAGGAUGAAGCUUGGGUAAAACCAAGUGGAGGUCCGAACCGACUAAUGUUGAAAAAUUAGCGGAUGAGCUGUGGUUAGGGGUGAAAUGCCAAUCGAACUCGGAGCUAGCUGGUUCUCCCCGAAAUGUGUUGAGGCGCAGCGGUAGUGGAAGUUUAGUCGGGGUAAAGCACUGUUUCGCCGCGGGCUGGGAGACCGGUACCAAGGCGAGGCAAACUCUGAAUACGGCUAAAAAAACUACCAGUGAGACGGUGGGGGAUAAGCUUCAUCGUCAAGAGGGAAACAGCCCAGACCACCAGCUAAGGUCCCCAAAUGAUAACUAAGUGAGAAAGGAGGUGGGAGUGCAUUGACAACCAGGAGGUUUGCCUAGAAGCAGCAAUCCUUAAAAGAGUGCGUAAUAGCUCACUGGUCAAGCGCUCCUGCGCCGAAAAUGAACGGGGCUAAGUUAUCUACCGAAGCUGUGGACUACAUUGUAGUGGUAGGGGAGCGUUCUAUAGGGGGUGAAGCAGUAGCGGCAAGCAGCUGUGGACUCUAUAGAAGUGAGAAUGUCGGCUUAAGUAGCGAAAAUGUGGGUGAGAAUCCCACACCCCGAAACCCCAAGGUUUCCUCCGCAAGGCUCGUCCGCGGAGGGUCAGUCAGGACCUAAGGCGAGGCUGAAAAGCGUAGUCGAUGGACAACGGGUUAACAUUCCCGUACCGAUUAAUGAUUGUGCCGGAGAACGGAGAAGGUCAACGUCAGCUGGAUGUUGGUUACCAGUGCAAGCAGUCGAGGCGAUGAGAGGUGGUGAAAACACCAGGAGCUAAGACGCGAGUCCCACCUCCCACGGGAGGGAAGUGGCGCUGAUCAAGCUUCCUAGAAAAGCCCGAACCACGUUAAUCAUUAAUUGCCUGUACCCGAAACCGACACAGGUGGGGAAGUAGAGAAUACUAAGGGGCGCGAGAUAACUCUCUCUAAGGAACUCGGCAAAAUGACCCCGUAACUUCGGGAGAAGGGGUACCCUCGCAAGAGGGUCGCAGUGAAUAGGCCCAGGCGACUGUUUACCAAAAACACAGGUCUCCGCCAAGUCGUAAGACGCAGUAUGGAGGCUGACGCCUGCCCAGUGCCGGAAGGUUAAGGAAGUUGGUCAGGAGUAAUCUGAAGCUGACGACCGAAGCCCCGGUGAACGGCGGCCGUAACUAUAACGGUCCUAAGGUAGCGAAAUUCCUUGUCGGGUAAGUUCCGACCCGCACGAAAGGCGUAACGAUCUGGGCACUGUCUCGGAGAGAGACUCGGCGAAAUAGGAUUGUCUGUGAAGAUACGGACUACCUGCACCUGGACAGAAAGACCCUAUGAAGCUUUACUGUAGCCUGGAAUUGGCUUCGGGCUUCGCUUGCGCAGGAUAGGUGGGAAGCUUUGAAACUCUCCUCGUGGGGAGAGUGGAGCUAACGGUGAGAUACCACUCUGGCGAGGCUAGAAUUCUAACCCUGACCCCUAAUCGGGGCGGGAGACAGUUUCAGGUGGGCAGUUUGACUGGGGCGGUCGCCUCCUAAAAGGUAACGGAGGCGCGCAAAGGUUCCCUCGGUCCCGUUGGAAAUGGGACGAUAGAGUGCAAAAGCAGAAGGGAGCUUGACUGUGAGACCCACAAGUCGAACAGGGACGAAAGUCGGCUUUAGUGAUCCGACGGCACCGCGUGGAAGGGCCGUCGCUCAACGGAUAAAAGUUACUCUAGGGAUAACAGGCUGAUCUCCCCCAAGAGUUCACAUCGACGGGGAGGUUUGGCACCUCGAUGUCGGCUCAUCGCAACCUGGGGCUGAAGUCGGUCCCAAGGGUUGGGCUGUUCGCCCAUUAAAGCGGUACGUGAGCUGGGUUCAGAACGUCGUGAGACAGUUCGGUCCAUAUCCGGUGUAGGCGUAAGAGCAUUGCGAGGAGCCUUCCUUAGUACGAGAGGACCGGGAAGGACGCACCGCUGGUGUACCUGUUAUCGUGCCAACGGUAAACGCAGGGUAGCCAUGUGCGGAGCGGAUAACCGCUGAAAGCAUCUAAGUGGGAAGCCCACCUCCAGAUGAUUGCUCUCAUGGCAUUAAGCCAGUAAGGUCUCGGGUAGACUACCCGUUGAUAGGCUCUAGAUGGAAGCUCGGUAACGAGUGCAGUCGAGGAGUACUAACCGACCGAGGGCUUGACCUG
Molecule: ribosomal RNA, 2881 nt
Filed under: Microcystis sp. Msp_OC_L_20101000_S702
Lineage: Bacteria; Bacillati; Cyanobacteriota; Cyanophyceae; Chroococcales; Microcystaceae
Description: 23S ribosomal RNA
Rfam family: Bacterial large subunit ribosomal RNA
Source: RNAcentral